RNAcentral lists this ribosomal RNA (254 nucleotides) under uncultured bacterium. Its description in RNAcentral is "partial 16S ribosomal RNA". It matches the Rfam family "Bacterial small subunit ribosomal RNA", at positions 524 to 776 of the family's 1533-position model. The record is from RNAcentral.
UACGGGGGGGGGCAAGCGUUGUUCGGAAUUACUGGGCGUAAAGGGUUCGUAGGUGGCCAAUUAAGUCAGACGUGAAAUCCCUCAGCUUAACUGGGGAACUGCGUCUGAGACUGGAUGGCUUGAGUGCAGGAGAGGAACGCGGAAUUCCAGGUGUAGCGGUGAAAUGCGUAGAUAUCCGGAGGAACACCGGUGGCGAAGGCGGCGUUCUGGACUGCAACUGACACUGAGGAACGAAAGCCAGGGGAGCAAACGGG